Molecule: ribosomal RNA, 100 nt
Filed under: Mesoptychia badensis
Lineage: Eukaryota; Viridiplantae; Streptophyta; Jungermanniopsida; Jungermanniales; Jungermanniaceae
Description: partial 5.8S ribosomal RNA
Rfam family: 5.8S ribosomal RNA
About the family: 5.8S ribosomal RNA (5.8S rRNA) is a component of the large subunit of the eukaryotic ribosome.
Source: RNAcentral
UGCGAUACCUAGUGUGAAUUGCAGAAUUCCGNNAAUCAUCGAGUCUUUGAACGCAAGUUGCGCCCGAGGCUUGUCCCGAGGGCAUGCCUGCCUGAGCGUC